Cydia splendana is the source of this 462-nucleotide long non-coding RNA. RefSeq lists it as uncharacterized. The record is from RefSeq and is a predicted model, not a curated record. NCBI's taxonomy places the organism in Eukaryota, Metazoa, Arthropoda, Insecta, Lepidoptera, Tortricidae. The transcript is spliced from 2 exons.
UUGCAGCUGUCAAAUAAAUGAUUUAUCUAUCUAUCUAUCUAUCUAUCAUUUUAGGGUUCCGUAGCCAAAUGGCAAAAAACGGAACCCUUGUGGAUUCGCCAUGUCUGUCUGUCUGUCUGUCUGUCUGUCUGUCUGUCUGUCUGUCUGUCUGUCUGUCUGUCUGUCUGUCUGUCUGUCUGUCCGUCCGUAUGUCACAGCCACUUUGUUCCGAAACUAUAAGAACUAUACUGUUGAAACUUGGUAAGUAGAUGUAUUAUGUGAACCGCGUUAAGAUUUUCACACAAAAAUAGAAAUAAAAACAAUAAAAUUUGGGGGUUCCCCAUACUUAGAACUGAAACUCAAAUUUUUUUUUAUCAAACCCAUACGUGUGGGGUAUCUAUGGAUAGGUCUUCAAAAAUUAUAUUGAGGUUUCUAAUAUCAUUUUUUUCUUAACUGAAUAGUUUGCGCGAGACACACUUCCAA